RNAcentral lists this ribosomal RNA (868 nucleotides) under Rossellidae sp. NIWA 126169. RNAcentral describes it as "partial 28S ribosomal RNA". The record is from RNAcentral. Lineage: Eukaryota; Metazoa; Porifera; Hexactinellida; Lyssacinosida; Rossellidae.
AUUUUUGGUAAGCAGAACUGGCGAUGCGGGAUGAACCGAACGCUGGGUUAAGGUGCCCAAGUCAACGCUCAUGAGAUCCCAGGAAAGGUGUUGGUUGAUACAGACAGCAGGACGGUGGCCAUGGAAGUUGGAAUCCGCUAAGGAGUGUGUAACAACUCACCUGCCGAAUCAACUAGCCCUGAAAAUGGAUGGCGCUCAAGCGUUGCACCUAUCCCCGGCCGCCGUGUGGAGUAGGCCAGUGCUGGUGACACGGCGUGUAGGAGGGCGCGGGGCUGUGUGUGUGUAUGCUGUGCAGGCUGGUGCGUGAGCCCAGCUGAAGCCGGCCCUGGUGCAGAUCUUGGUGGUAGUAGCAAUUAUUCAAAUGAGAACUUUGAAGGCCGAAGUGGAGAAGGGUUCCACGUGAACAGCAUUUGGACGUGGGUGAGUCGGUCCUAAGAGAUGGGCGAAAGCCUGGUUAGUAAGGGUGCAGAUGUGUCGUCCUUYAGGGGGCAGGCACGUCCGGGUUGUGUGUGUGGUUCUUCACGGGGCCAUGCGCGCUUUAGUGGCACCAGCUCUCGAAAGGGCAUCGGGUUAAUAUUCCCGAACCAGACACCUGGAUGCUGCCCGUGGACUGGCCUUCCUAGAAAUGGGGGGGUUGGGCUGCGGGUGGAGCACGGCAACGUAUAUGUAUGUGUGUAUACUCGGCGACACUUGCGAUAGCCCUGGGAAGAGUUGUCUUUUCUUCUUAACCGUACCAACCGUGUGCACAGCCCUGGAAGCAGUUUACCUUGAGAGAGGGCUGGAGGUCGGGUAAAGCGCUGCACUUAUUGCAGCGUCCAGUGCGCUGUCGAGAGUCCCUGAAAAGCUGAGUCAGGACUGGAUCAUGUUU